AGAGUUUGAUCAUGGCUCAGAUUGAACGCUGACGGUAUGCUUAACACAUGCAAGUCGAACGGCAACACGAGUAAGCUUGCUUACUUGGUGGCAAGUGGCGGACGGGUGAGUAAUACGUAGGAAUCUGCCCUAAAGUGGGGGACAACCCGGGGAAACUCGGGCUAAUACCGCAUAACCUCUUUGGAGCAAAGUCGGGGACCUUCGGGCCUGACGCUUUAGGAUGAGCCUACGUCGGAUUAGCUAGUUGGUAGGGUAAAGGCCUACCAAGGCAACGAUCCGUAGCUGGUCUGAGAGGACGACCAGCCACACUGGGACUGAGAUACGGCCCAGACUCCUACGGGAGGCAGCAGUGGGGAAUAUUGGACAAUGGGGGCAACCCUGAUCCAGCAAUACCGUGUGUGUGAAGAAGGCCUUCGGGUUGUAAAGCACUUUUAGUGGGGAAAAAUGGCUUAAGACUAAUACUCUUAAGAAGUGAUGUUACCCACAGAAAAAGCACCGGCUAACUCUGUGCCAGCAGCCGCGGUAAUACAGAGGGUGCAAGCGUUAAUCGGAAUUACUGGGCGUAAAGCGCUCGUAGGUGGAUAUCUAAGUCGGAUGUGAAAUCCCCGGGCUUAACCUGGGAACUGCAUUCGAGACUGGAUGUCUAGAGUAUGGUAGAGGAAAGUGGAAUUCCCGGUGUAGCGGUGAAAUGCGUAGAUAUCGGGAAGAACACCAGUGGCGAGGCGGCUUUCUGGACCAAUACUGACACUGAGGAGCGAAAGCGUGGGGAGCAAACAGGAUUAGAGACCCUGGUAGUCCACGCUGUAAACGAUGAGAACUGGGCGUUGGGAAGCUUGUCUUCUUAGUGCCGAAGCUAACGCGUUAAGUUCUCCGCCUGGGGGAGUACGACCGCAAGGUUAAAACUU
RNAcentral lists this ribosomal RNA (905 nucleotides) under uncultured bacterium. RNAcentral's name for it is "bacterial SSU rRNA". It matches the Rfam family "Bacterial small subunit ribosomal RNA", at positions 8 to 902 of the family's 1533-position model. The record is from RNAcentral.